This 510-nucleotide ribosomal RNA is filed under the name Meyerozyma caribbica. Its description in RNAcentral is "partial 28S ribosomal RNA". It matches the Rfam family "Eukaryotic large subunit ribosomal RNA", at positions 84 to 599 of the family's 3401-position model. Lineage: Eukaryota; Fungi; Ascomycota; Pichiomycetes; Serinales; Debaryomycetaceae. The record is from RNAcentral.
UAGCGGCGAGUGAAGCGGCAAAAGCUCAAAUUUGAAAUCUGGCACCUUCGGUGUCCGAGUUGUAAUUUGAAGAUUGUAACCUUGGGGUUGGCUCUUGUCUAUGUUUCUUGGAACAGGACGUCACAGAGGGUGAGAAUCCCGUGCGAUGAGAUGCCCAAUCCUAUGUAAGGUGCUUUCGAAGAGUCGAGUUGUUUGGGAAUGCAGCUCUAAGUGGGUGGUAAAUUCCAUCUAAAGCUAAAUAUUGGCGAGAGACCGAUAGCGAACAAGUACAGUGAUGGAAAGAUGAAAAGAACUUUGAAAAGAGAGUGAAAAAGUACGUGAAAUUGUUGAAAGGGAAGGGUUUGAGAUCAGACUCGAUAUUUUGUGAGCCUUGCCUUCGUGGCGGGGUGACCCGCAGCUUAUCGGGCCAGCAUCGGUUUGGGCGGUAGGAUAAUGGCGUAGGAAUGUGACUUUGCUUCGGUGAAGUGUUAUAGCCUGCGUUGAUGCUGCCUGCCUAGACCGAGGACUGCG